GGGGGGAGCGCCAGAUCUUGGGCUAUGUCCCCCAGCACCCUGGGAUCCCAGGCCUGCACUGCUGAGAUUGUGCGCCCAGCCUGCGCAGCCCCCU
RNAcentral lists this microRNA precursor (94 nucleotides) under Canis lupus familiaris (dog). RNAcentral describes it as "mir-8799 microRNA precursor family". It matches the Rfam family "mir-8799 microRNA precursor family". Lineage: Eukaryota; Metazoa; Chordata; Mammalia; Carnivora; Canidae. RNAcentral also lists the same sequence under 1 other name. The record is from Rfam by way of RNAcentral.